This 1241-nucleotide ribosomal RNA is filed under the name metagenome. Its description in RNAcentral is "bacterial LSU rRNA". It matches the Rfam family "Bacterial large subunit ribosomal RNA", at positions 1564 to 2814 of the family's 2925-position model. The record is from RNAcentral.
UGAAUACGAGAUGCUACGGCGUCGAAGCAGUGUAUGUCAGACUUCCAAGAAAAGCUCGCAAUGUCAUAAAUAAAGAAUGCCUGUACCAUAACCGACACAGGUGGGUAGGUAGAGUAUACUAAGGGGCGCGAGAUAACUCUCUCUAAGGAACUCGGCAAAAUAACUCCGUAACUUCGGGAGAAGGAGUGCCUUCUUUAAGAAGGUUGCAAUAACAAGAUCCAAGCAACUGUUUAUCAAAAACACAGGUCUCCGCUAAGUCGUAAGACGAUGUAUGGGGGCUGACGCCUGCCCAGUGCCAGAAGGUUAAAGAAGUUGGUUAGCUUUUGCGAAGCUGACGACUGAAGCCCUGGUGAACGGCGGCCGUAACUAUAACGGUCCUAAGGUAGCGAAAUUCCUUGUCGGGUAAGUUCCGACCCGCACGAAAGGCGUAAUGAUUUGGAUACUGUCUCGGAGAGGGACUCGGUGAAAUAGACUUGUCUGUGAAGAUGCGGACUACCUGCACCAGGACAGAAAGACCCUAUGAAGCUUUACUGUAACUUGAAAUUGAAAUUGGACUUUAUUUGCGCAGUAUAGGUGGAAGGCGUUGAAAGUAAUCUUGCGGGAUUAGUGGAGCCAUCAGUGAGAUACCACUCCUAUAAUGUUAGAUUUCUAACUUUGGAUCAUGAUCUGGUCAAAGAACAGUUUCAGGCGGGCAGUUUGACUGGGGCGGUCGCCUCCCAAAUGGUAACGGAGGCGUACAAAGGUUUCCUCUGAACGGGUAGAAAUCGUAUCUAGAGUGUAAAGGCAUAAGGAAGCUUGACUGUGAGACCUACAAGUCGAGCAGGGACGAAAGUCGGUCUUAGUGAUCUGACGGUGCUGAGUGGAAAGGCCGUCACUCAACGGAUAAAAGUUACUCUAGGAUAACAGGCUGAUCUCCCCCAAGAGUUCACAUCGACGGGGAGGUUUGGCACCUCGAUGUCGGCUCAUCGCAUCCUGGGGCGGUAGUACGUCCCAAGGGUUGGGCUGUUCGCCCAUGAAAGCGGUACGCGAGCUGGGUUCAGAACGUCGUGUGACAGUUCGGUCCAUAUCCGGUGUAGGCGUUAGAAUAUUGAGAGGAGCCUUCUUUAGUACGAGAGGACCGAGAAGGACAUACCUCUGGUGUACCAGUUAUCGUGCCAACGGUAAACGCUGGGUAGCUAUGUAUGGAGAGGAUAACCGCUGAAAGCAUCUAAGUGGGAAGCCCACCUCAAGAUGAGUAUUCC